UGCCAGCCGCCGCGGUAAUACGUAAGUGGCAAGCGUUAUCCGAAUUUACUGGGCAUAAAGCGCACGCAGGCGGUCAAUUAAGUUAGUUGUGAAAGACUACAGCUUAACUGUAGUUUGCUUCUAAUACUGAUUGACUAGAGAACAGGAGAGGAAAGUGGAACACACGGUGUAGCGGUGAAAUGCGUAGAUAUCGUGGGGAACACCAGUGGCGAAGGCGACUUUCUGGACUGAUUCUGACGCUGAGGUGCGAAAGCGUGGGGAGCGAACGGGAUUAGAUA
This 278-nucleotide ribosomal RNA is filed under the name uncultured bacterium. Its description in RNAcentral is "partial 16S ribosomal RNA". It matches the Rfam family "Bacterial small subunit ribosomal RNA", at positions 506 to 784 of the family's 1533-position model. The record is from RNAcentral.